RNAcentral lists this unclassified non-coding RNA (253 nucleotides) under uncultured Halomonadaceae bacterium. Its description in RNAcentral is "contains 16S-23S intergenic spacer region". It matches the Rfam family "Bacterial small subunit ribosomal RNA", at positions 524 to 776 of the family's 1533-position model. Lineage: Bacteria; Pseudomonadati; Pseudomonadota; Gammaproteobacteria; Oceanospirillales; Halomonadaceae. The record is from RNAcentral.
UACGGAGGGUGCGAGCGUUAAUCGGAAUUACUGGGCGUAAAGCGCGCGUAGGCGGCGUGAUAAGCCGGUUGUGAAAGCCCCGGGCUCAACCCGGGAACGGCAUACGGAACUGUCAAGCUAGAGAACAGGAGAGGAAGGUAGAAUUCCCGGUGUAGCGGUGAAAUGCGUAGAGAUCGGGAGGAAUACCAGUGGCGAAGGCGGCCUUCUGGACUGAUACUGACACUGAGGUGCGAAAGCUUGGGGAGCAAACAGG